CAGUUAAGAAGCUCGUAGUUGGAUUUCUGUGGGGACGGAGCGGCCGGCCGCACAUCGCGGUUCGAGCUAGCGCUUUCCCUACAUCCUGCCGCGAACCGUGCUACCAUUAGUUUGGUGGCGCUGGGGAUCGGCUCGAUUACUUUGAGAAAAAUAGAGUGUUCAAAGCAGGCCACACGCCUUGAGUAAGUUAGCAUGGAAUAAUAACUAAGGACUUCGGUUCUAUUUUGUUGGUGUUCGGGAUUGAAGUAAUGAUUGAUAGGGACAGUUGGGGCGGUCAGUAUUCCAAAGCGAGAGGUGAAAUUCUUAGACCUUCGGAAGACUAACAGCUGCGAAAGCGUUCCGCAAGGAUGUUCCCUUUGAUCAAGAACGAAAGUUGGGGGAUCGAAGACGAUCAGAUACCGUCGUAGUCUCAACUAUAAACUAUACCAGCUAGGGAUCGGCCAACGUUAUUUUAUACCGACUUGGUCGGCACCUUAUGAGAAAUCAAAGCAUCUGGGUUCCGGGGGGAGUAUGGUCGCAAGGCUGAAACUUAAAGGAAUUGACGGAAGGGCACCACCAGCCGUGGAGCCUGUGGCUUAAUUUGACUCAACACGGGAAAACUUACCAGGUCCAGACAUAGUAAGGAUUGACAGAUUGAUAGCUCUU
RNAcentral lists this ribosomal RNA (645 nucleotides) under uncultured marine eukaryote. RNAcentral's name for it is "SSU rRNA". It matches the Rfam family "Eukaryotic small subunit ribosomal RNA", at positions 616 to 1259 of the family's 1831-position model. The record is from RNAcentral.